This 7035-nucleotide long non-coding RNA is filed under the name Triticum aestivum (bread wheat). RNAcentral's name for it is "long non-coding RNA (TAES_LNC007796)". The record is from RNAcentral. Lineage: Eukaryota; Viridiplantae; Streptophyta; Magnoliopsida; Poales; Poaceae.
UGUUAGGAUUAAUUAUUUAGUUUAAUUAAUUAGAAUCUCUGUUUGUGGAAACGACAGCCGGUUUCUUCCUGAACGAUCGCAUCCUAAUAUGACGGACGCGUCGUUUAGAUCGUGCCUCUUGUAAACGUCGCUCCUGUUCGAUGCAUCUCUUCCAGAGAUAUAAAUAUGUACAUCCUCGACAUCAAUCAAUAGCGAAAGUUACUGUUUAUUCACACUGUUUCUUCACACGUUAUCAUGCACUUCUCUCCAGCGAGAGCGACAGGCCAGAACUCGCCGGAGAAGGACUUGGAACGGUGAGGAUGUCGUCCCUCGCCUCCCUUCUCCUUGGUCUUCUCUGGGAAGAAGGUCGCCGACAUUUCCUUGUCGAGCAGCGCCGCCGGUUUGUCCGCCAUCGAUGGGGGGCACCACCAGCAGUUUCUGGCCUUGGCAUUAACCGCCGCCAGAACUUCGCUGGAGGACGCCGCCAUCACGCGGCCGCUGGACGACGCCGUCGCGCCACGCCGGUUGACAACCGUCAGGGUCUGGACCCAGGGCUAGUUGCCGGACUGAAUGCUCCACUGCCGCAGAACGCUGGGAUGGGCAUGCAAGAGCCUCCAGUUCCCACUCCAUCUGCACCACGGUGGUGUCGUGUGCACGGAUAUGGCCCGUGCCCCGCUCGCUCCAGUAGCACAAGUCUGCCGUCACCAACGCCGGCAGAGGAGGAGGAGCGGGAGAUCGUCCACGACGUACCUACACGCGGCUACAGCCCGACUCCAACGCGCGUCGCUAGUGCCAGGGGCGACGGCCUCGUCUUCAUCCCGACUCCAGGACGCGCCGUGGCCACCGCGGGCGUGGUCGCCGCUACCGGAGCAAGUGACACUCCGGGGUCGAGCAGCGCACCAUGGGCGUUUGGCCGCUCCCCUGCUCCCCCCGGCGAACAGGGCAUCUUCCUCUUCGGAGCAGGAGGGACGCCCGCCACGGACGUCGCUGGCACGAGCGGCGGCGCGGGUCCGCCCGACACCGGCGCGAGCCGCCGUCUUCUCUUCGGGCGCUCCGUCGCCGCUGUCGACCGUCGCCCUGGACGCCGUCAGGGCGCCUGGAACCCGGUGUCGCUCGGCCUCGCCAACGGACACCAGAAUGGGGUGGACAUCCCUGACUAGGAGGAAGGCUUCAUCCCUUCACCAUCGGCGGCUCGCCGGUGAGCGCGCGUCCGGCGCGGCGGCCGGAACAGAGGAGGGUCGCGCCACCUGGAAAGAGGAUUGGGGGCGGUAGGGGAAACCCUAACCGUCACCCUCUUUUAUGCGAUGGUUAAAGCGGCGCCGGGCCUGUUGGGCCGAAAGGUCGGAUGGGCUGUGACCUAACCGUCACCCUCUUUUACUGUAGCAGUACUGUAGGAGUGGGCUGUGCUACUGGUUUGUGUCUCCCUAUAUGCGACCCAGGACCAUUUUUUUUCGUUUUCCUUUUUAUAUUUAGUUCUUUAACUAGCAGUUUGAAGUUGUGACUAGUUAUUUAGUAAUUUGUGUAAAUUACUAUAUUUUAUUGUUCAGUAAUUAGUGUGUAUUACUGUAUUGUACAAGUACAAUGUAUGUCAACGUAUAUGUUCCGGCAAUUUGGCAAUUGCUAUAUGUUGAUCAAUGUACAUGCAUUGUUUUAUUUACAACACAAUUAAUUUGCUAUGAGAGUAAAUUAAUAAGCAUGAUGAUUGCAUGCAGGAUAUGGCUGACAUAUCUAAAAAAGAGUUUGCUGAACUUGCCGUCGAUGGUUCUAACUAUUUGACAUGGGCAAUGGAUGUCAAAAUCAAUUUGACGGCCAAAGGACUCAAUUCCGCUAUAACCACACCUGCCCAAAGGACUUCAUCUGUAACAGACAUAAUAAGGUAUUCAGCGUUGCACUUCAUUCGACAUCAUCUUCACCCUGACCUAAAGACAGAGUAUCUAAUGGAGGAGAGCCCUCUGACACUCUGGAACUCCUUAAAGGAGAGGUAUGAUCAACAAAGGGCGGUGAUGUUGCCUGAAGCACAACAGGAAUGGGCGCUAGUCCGAUUCCAAGACUUUAAGUCUGUAGCUGCAUACAAUUCUGCUGUUCAUAAGAUCAACUCCAAGCUAAGAUUCUGCAAUAGUGCAGUUUUUGAUACUGAUCUUAUUGAAAAGACACUUUCUACUUUCCAUCCUUCUAUGAGGAUACUUGCUAAACAGUAUCGUCAGCAAAAGUAUAAGAAGUAUUCUGAGUUGAUUUACUCGCUGCUUCAGGCAGAGAAGCAUAAUGAGCUUCUUGAGAAGAACAAUUUGGCUCGUCCAACAGGAACGAUGCCUCUGCCUGAAUCACACUUCAACUCUAAGAAUACUCAAAAGUUCAAUGGUUCCAAAAAGAACCGUAGGACAUUCAAUGGAAAGUGGAAGCGUAAUGAGAAGCAGAAUAAGUAUGGCGUCCAAAAGGAAAAAGGUUCUUUCAAGAAGAAUGAAAGGGCUAGCAACACUGGUUGCUUCAGGUGUGGUUGUAAGGAACAUAUUGCAAAGAAGUGUGACACUUCAAAGCAUUUGGUGGAAUUGUACCAACAGUCACUUGGAAAGGGCAAGAAGGCUCGGGGGAACCAGUAUGAAGCACACUUCACUGGAAAUGAAGAUGGUACCCCUACGGUUGAUGGUUCUCGAGAUGAUUCUCUGAACAUGGACAACCAGGAGCAGAAUCAGCAAGUCGAAGAUCCAAUACUAGAUGUCGAUGACAUGCUAGUGGAAUUUGGUUUUACUGACAUAUAUGGAGACCAGAUUUAGUCUCAUUUGUCUAAGUAUUGUAAUGAUGUUAUUAGACAUAUUACAUGUGUUGUAAAAUAAGUUAUGUCCUUAGACAUAAUGUGUUUGCUAUGUCGUGUGACAUAGGGCUUGUAAUAAGUACAAGACAUAUAUAGUUUGUAAUGUAUGUAUUGAUUCUAUAAGAGUUUGAUUAUAUACUGAACUUUGUUCUUUUACUCUAUAGAACUUCAAGGAAUAAUACAAUGGAGGAGGAAAUGUGUUUAGUGGAUAGUGCAUCUACUAACACGAUACUUAGGGAGAUGAAAUAUUUCCAGACACUCAAGAAGAGUAAUGGAAGUGUCAUGACAAUUGCUGGUCGAGACACGGUAAUUGUUGGUUCUGGUCAAGCUACAAUUACACUCCCUAUGGGUACUAAAUUGGUAAUCCAGGAUGCUCUACUGUAUCCAGAUUCUACUCGUACCUUGCUGAGUUUUAAGGAUAUCCGCAAAAAUGGUUUCCAUGUGGAAACUAAUGAAGAGAGUGGGGCUGAAUGCCUACUCAUAACUCAGCAAAAGGGAUUUCGAAAGGAAGUCCUUGAGAAUUUGCCUUCUCUAUCUUCUGGGUUGUAUUAUACAUACAUUAAACCAGAGACGCCUAUGGCGUACAAGAUAGUUUUUCAGAAUCUUGAUAAGUUCAAGAUUUGGCAUGGUCGCCUGGGUCAUCCUGGUAUUGGGAUGAUGAGGAAAAUUAUUGAUGGUUCUGUUGGACACAACAUAACGGAUAGAAAGUUCCCAAAAUCAUCGGAUUUUGUAUGCACAGCAUGUGCAACUGGGAAAUUGAUCACAAGUCCAUCUUAUGUGAAAUUAAAGGAUGAGGCACUUGAUUUCCUUGAACGCAUUCAAGGAGAUAUUUGUGGUCCAAUACAACCGUUAUCUGGACCAUUCAUAUAUUUCAUGGUCCUAAUUGAUGCAUCAACGAGAUGGUCAAAUGUGUGUCUACUAUCAACAAGGAACCAUGCCUUUGCAAAGCUAAUUGCUCAGAUCAUUAAAUUGAGAGCAAAUCAUUCUGAGCAUAGGAUAAAAACCAUCAGAAUGGAUAAUGCCGCGGAAUUCAGUUCUUGAGCAUUUAAUGAUUACUGCCUAGCUUUGGGCAUUUCUGUGGAGCACUCAGUACCUUAUGUACAUACCCAGAAUGGUCUUGCAGAAUCACUUAUCAAGAGAAUCAAGUGGAUAGCAAGACCGCUCCUGCAGAAUAGUAAUCUUCCAGCUUCAUAUUGGGGUCAUGCUGUUUUACAUGCUGCAGAAUUGAUACAAAUUCGACCAACUGCAUAUCAUACGGUCUCCCCGUCGCAGUUAGUAUGUGGAAACCAGCCAAGUAUUUCCCAUCUGCGGCAAUUCGGUUGCGCGGUAUAUGUACCGAUCUCACCACCGCAGUGUACAUCAAUGGGCCCUCAUAGACGAAUGGGGAUCUAUGUGGGGUACAAUUCUCCGUCAAUCAUUAAGUACCUGGAACCCCUGACAGGGGAUUUGUUUACAGCCCGGUACGCUAAUUGCAUUUUUGAUGAGGACAAUUUCCCGGCAUUAGGGGGAGAGAAUAACCACAAAGAAUGUCGAUAAAUAGAUUGGGAUGUGAAAGGCAUCCAGUCCUUAGAUCCACGUACGAAUGAGUCUGAACUGGAGGUUCAGAAGAUUAUAAUUUGCAAAAUAUUGCAAAUAAUCUGCCAGAUGCAUUUGCUGAUUAUAAAGGUGUCACAAAAUCAAAUGUUCCCGCUAUGAAUGUGCCAGAGAGAGUGGAUGUGACCCAUAGAUCUACUCAGCUACCCAAGAGGGGGAGAAAUCUGGAUACAAAGGACAAGGCUUUGCAGAAGCGGCCAAGGGGAAUGAGGAAUCCUCAAAUAGUAAAUGCAAGUCAGCAAGAUGUUGAUAUUCAACCUAGGGUUGAAGGACACCUGAAGGAUGUUGGACAUCCAGAACCCAACACGAGUGUGCACACAAAUUUUGGUGUUGGGACAUCGGAAGACCUUGAUCCAAUUGUUGAGGGAAAUCACGAAGGAUCAAAAGGUAUUGAUGAGAUAUCCAUUAAUUAUAUUGAUUCAGGAGAAUCAUACAAUAGAAAGACUACAGUUGUCGACAUUUAUUUCGCCUCUAGAAUUGCAGAAGGCCUUGAUUUAGAUCGAGAACCUAAGUCCAUGGCAGAGUGCAUGAAGCGCUCAGACUGGUCCAAAUGGAAGGCAGCAAUUGAGGACGAAUUGCACUCGCUCAUAAAAAGAGGGGUAUUCACUUCAGUAAUACCCACUCCUCAGCAUGUGUUCCCUGUGGAAGCAAAAUGGGUUUUCGUUCGUAAGAGGAACGAGAACAAUGAGGUGGUGAGAUAUAAGGCGAGGCUUGUAGCACAGGGGUUCACGCAGAGACCCGGCAUCGAUUAUGAUGAAACAUAUUCUCCUGUUAUGAGUGGAACAACAUUCCGAUAUUUAAUAUCACUGGCAGUGAAAAUGAAUUUGUCUAUCCAACUUAUGGAUGUUGUGACUGCAUAUUUAUAUGGGUCACUGGAUUCGGAUAUUUACAUGAAAGUUCCUGAGGGAAUGAAGCUUCCUAAUCCAAAGGCUAACCGCAACAUGUAUUGCGUAAAGCUUCAGAAGUCAUUGUAUGGCUUGAAGCAGUCGGGAAGAAUGUGGUAUAACCGACUGAGUAUAUUCCUUCUUCAAAAGGGAUACUCAAAUAAUAAUGAUUGCCCAUGUGUGUUUAUUAAGAAAUCUAAGAAUGAAUUUUGCAUUAUUUCUGUGUAUGUGGAUGACCUGAAUAUCAUUGGGACUACACAAGAAAUACAUGAGGCAAGUAAUCAUCUUAAGACGGAGUUUGAGAUGAAAGAUCUAGGUAAGACUAAAUUUUGUUUGGGCUUACAACUUGAACAUCUUCCUUCAGGAAUACUUGUUCAUCAGUCUGCUUAUAUCCAAAAGAUUCUUGAGAAAUUUAAUAUGGAUAAAGCAUAUCCAUCGAAAACACCAAUGGUGGUUAGAUCUCUUGAUAGAGAUAAAGACCCAUUUAGACCUCAGGGUGAUGAUGAAGAGAUGUUAGGACCCGAGUUUCCUUACCUCAGUGCUAUUGGAGCACUAAUGUAUCUAGCGAACUGCACCAGGCCUGAUAUAUCAUUUGCAGUAAAUUUAUUGGCUAGAUUUAGUGCAUCACCAACAAAGAGACAUUGGGUUGGUGUGAAGAACAUUUUCAGAUAUCUUCAAGGCACCAAAGAUCUUGGUUUGUUCUAUCAGAAAAAUCAUGAUAAGACCAUGGUGGGAUAUUGUGAUGCUGGAUACCUAUCGGAUCCCCAUAAUGUCAGAUCACAGACUGGUUUUGUCUUCUUGAGUGGAGGUAUGGCCUUUUCUUGGAAGUCGACAAAACAAACUCUGGUGGCUACAUCCACGAAUCAUUCUGAAAUUAUUGCUUUGUUUGAAGCAUCAUGUGAAUGUGCAUGGCUUCGCAGAAUGAUUAACUUUAUUGAAAGUUCAAGUGGGAUUGGAUCAUUGGAAUCACCUACUAUUAUCUAUGAAGAUAAUGCUGCAUGUAUUACACAGAUGCAAACAGGUUAUAUAAAGAGUAAUAUUACAAAGCAUAUUUCUCCUAAGUUAUUUUAUCCCCAUGAGUUACAGCAGACCGGGGAGAUAAAUAUUUUGCAAACGAAGUCAUGUGAUAAUCUUGCUGAUUUGUUUACAAAAUCAUUACGAAGUUCUUUAUUUGAGAAGUACAUCAAUGGAAUUGGUAUGAAACGACUUCGGGAUUUGCAAAGUUCAGGGGGAGUGUCUCCCUGAAUAAUAAUCUGUUUGUGAUCCUCGGAUCUUUAAUAUUGCACUCUUUUCCUGUAUAAGUUUACCUGAAUGGUUUCUUAUGGGAGGUUUUUAAUGAGGCAAUAGUAAUGCAUGCAUUGUGAUAUGUUAGUUUCUCCUUAUUUUCCCACUGGGUUUUUGGAAGGAGUUUUUGAUGGCAUAUUGUACAUAUCUCCUCAUAUUUUUCCUACAGGGUUUUUGGAGGAGACUAAUCAUGAUGAUGAUGAUCAAGAUGUUGAUGAUGAUGUUUACAAGAAUGAUUGAAGCAGAGAUUAGGGGGAGUGUUAGGAUUAAUUAUUUAGUUUAAUUAAUUAGAAUCUCUGUUUGUGGAAACGACAGCCAGUUUCUUCCUGAACGAUCGCAUCCUAAUAUGACGGACGCGUCGUUUAGAUCGUGCCUCUUGUAAACAUCGCUCCUGUGCGAUGCAUCUCUUCCAGAGAUAUAAAUAUGUACAUCCUCGACAUCAAUCAAUAGCGAAAGUUAAUGUUCAUUCACACUGUUUCUUCACAC